Molecule: ribosomal RNA, 655 nt
Filed under: Apilactobacillus kunkeei
Lineage: Bacteria; Bacillati; Bacillota; Bacilli; Lactobacillales; Lactobacillaceae
Description: bacterial SSU rRNA
Rfam family: Bacterial small subunit ribosomal RNA
Source: RNAcentral
CCGAAGCGGGGGAUAACAUUUGGAAACAAGUGCUAAUACCGCAUAAUUAGUUGGAACCGCAUGGUUCCAACUUGAAAGAUGGCUCUGCUAUCACUUUGGGAUGGACCCGCGCCGUAUUAGUUAGUUGGUGAGAUAAAAGCCCACCAAGACGAUGAUACGUAGCCGACCUGAGAGGGUAAUCGGCCACAUUGGGACUGAGACACGGCCCAGACUCCUACGGGAGGCAGCAGUAGGGAAUCUUCCACAAUGGACGAAAGUCUGAUGGAGCAACGCCGCGUGAGUGAUGAAGGUUUUCGGAUCGUAAAACUCUGUUGUUAAAGAAGAACAAGUGUUAGAGUAACUGUUAACACUUUGACGGUAUUUAACCAGAAAGCCACGGCUAACUACGUGCCAGCAGCCGCGGUAAUACGUAGGUGGCAAGCGUUGUCCGGAUUUAUUGGGCGUAAAGCGAGCGCAGGCGGUUUUGUAAGUCUGCUGUGAAAGCCCUCAGCUCAACUGAGGAAGUGCAGUGGAAACUACAAAACUUGAGUACAGAAGAGGAAAGUGGAACUCCAUGUGUAGCGGUGAAAUGCGUAGAUAUAUGGAAGAACACCAGUGGCGAAGGCGGCUUUCUGGUCUGUUACUGACGCUGAGGCUCGAAAGCAUGGGUAGCGAA